UCUAUUGUGGCAGAUUAGUGCAAUGAACUUAAGAUUCAUAAAUAAAGUUUCCUUUCCUUAGAA
RNAcentral lists this transfer RNA (63 nucleotides) under Teslasena femoralis. Its description in RNAcentral is "tRNA-Leu". Lineage: Eukaryota; Metazoa; Arthropoda; Insecta; Coleoptera; Elateridae. The record is from RNAcentral.